RNAcentral lists this ribosomal RNA (353 nucleotides) under Acidimicrobiia bacterium. Its description in RNAcentral is "partial 23S ribosomal RNA". It matches the Rfam family "Bacterial large subunit ribosomal RNA", at positions 2575 to 2925 of the family's 2925-position model. Lineage: Bacteria; Bacillati; Actinomycetota; Acidimicrobiia. The record is from RNAcentral.
GGCUGUUCGCCCAUUAAAGCGGUACGCGAGCUGGGUUUAGAACGUCGUGAGACAGUUCGGUCCCUAUCCUCUGCAGCCGGAGGAGAUUUGAGAAAGGCUGUCCCUAGUACGAGAGGACCGGGAUGGACGUAGCUCUAGUGUGCCAGUUGUUCCGCCAGGAGCAUGGCUGGUUGGCCACCUACGGAAGGGAUAACCGCUGAAAGCAUCUAAGUGGGAAGCCCGUUUCAAGAUGAGAUCUCCCACCGGGUUAACCGGGUAAGGCCCGUGGCAGAACACCACGUUGAUAGGCCGGAGGUGUAAGUGCGGCAACGCAUUCAGCCGACCGGUACUAAUCGGCCGAGGGCUUGGUUACA